Molecule: ribosomal RNA, 497 nt
Filed under: uncultured bacterium
Lineage: Bacteria
Description: partial 16S ribosomal RNA
Rfam family: Bacterial small subunit ribosomal RNA
Source: RNAcentral
GAUGAACGCUGGCGGCGUGCCUAAUACAUGCAAGUCGAGCGAACGGACGAGAAGCUUGCUUCUCUGAUGUUAGCGGCGGACGGGUGAGUAACACGUGGAUAACCUACCUAUAAGACUGGGAUAACUUCGGGAAACCGGAGCUAAUACCGGAUGAUAUUUUGAACCGCAUGGUUCAAAAGUGAAAGACGGUCUUGCUGUCACUUAUAGAUGGAUCCGCGCUGCAUUAGCUAGUUGGUAAGGUAACGGCUUACCAAGGCAACGAUGCAUAGCUGACCUGAGAGGGUGAUCGGCCACACUGGAACUGAGACACGGUCCAGACUCCUACGGGAGGCAGCAGUAGGGAAUCUUCCGCAAUGGGCGAAAGCCUGACGGAGCAACGCCGCGUGAGUGAUGAAGGUCUUCGGAUCGUAAAACUCUGUUACUAGGGAAGAACAUAUGUGUAAGUAACUGUGCACAUCUUGACGGUACCUAAUCAGAAAGCCACGGCUAACUACGUG